RNAcentral lists this ribosomal RNA (253 nucleotides) under uncultured bacterium. Its description in RNAcentral is "partial 16S ribosomal RNA". It matches the Rfam family "Bacterial small subunit ribosomal RNA", at positions 524 to 776 of the family's 1533-position model. The record is from RNAcentral.
UACAGAGGGUGUGAGCGUUGUUCGGAAUUAUUGGGCGUAAAGGGCGCGUAGGCGGCGCGGUAUGUCACCUGUGAAAUCUCCUGGCUCAACUGGGAGCUUGCAGGCGAAACUGCCGUGCUGGAGUGUGGGAGAGGUGCGUGGAAUUCCUGGUGUAGCGGUGAAAUGCGUAGAUAUCUGGAGGAACACCGGUGGCGAAGGCGGCAUCCUGGACCGGCAUUGACGCUGAGGAGCGAAAGCCAGGGGAGCAAACGGG